GUAUAAGCACUUUAUACUGUGAAACUGCGAAUGGCUCAUUAAAUCAGUUAUCGUUUAUUUGAUAGUACCUUACUACAUGGAUACCUGUGGUAAUUCUAGAGCUAAUACAUGCUAAAAACCUCGACUUCGGAAGGGGUGUAUUUAUUAGAUAAAAAACCAACGCCCUUCGGGGCUCCUUGGUGAAUCAUAAUAACUAAGCGAAUCGCAUGGCCUUGCGCCGGCGAUGGUUCAUUCAAAUUUCUGCCCUAUCAACUUUCGAUGGUAGGAUAGUGGCCUACCAUGGUGGCAACGGGUAACGGGGAAUUAGGGUUCGAUUCCGGAGAGGGAGCCUGAGAAACGGCUACCACAUCCAAGGAAGGCAGCAGGCGCGCAAAUUACCCAAUCCCGACACGGGGAGGUAGUGACAAUAAAUACUGAUACGGGGCUCUUUUGGGUCUCGUAAUUGGAAUGAGUACAAUCUAAAUCCCUUAACGAGGAACAAUUGGAGGGCAAGUCUGGGCCCGG
This 504-nucleotide ribosomal RNA is filed under the name Aspergillus sp. N1. Its description in RNAcentral is "SSU rRNA". It matches the Rfam family "Eukaryotic small subunit ribosomal RNA", at positions 63 to 570 of the family's 1831-position model. The record is from RNAcentral. Lineage: Eukaryota; Fungi; Ascomycota; Eurotiomycetes; Eurotiales; Aspergillaceae.